This 200-nucleotide long non-coding RNA is filed under the name Vigna radiata. RNAcentral describes it as "long non-coding RNA (VRAD_LNC009368)". The record is from RNAcentral. Lineage: Eukaryota; Viridiplantae; Streptophyta; Magnoliopsida; Fabales; Fabaceae.
AUAAAUGAUAUAUAUGAAUAGCUUCAAAAUUUACACCAUGAAUUACUGGUUGCAUCGGCAAAACACACACAAAAGGUAACAAAAUCACGGAGACAUUCUUAAUUUCAGGUAUUCGAAAACGAAUCACAUAGUGUUUUUCUAGGAUUUAGGCUAAAAAUGGUUAUUUUGAAGGAAAAUAAAUGAAUCUAUUAUAGAUUAUC